CGACUUUUAGUUUGCCUUCCCGAAACUAAGUGAGCUACUUUAAAGCAGCUAUUAGAGCUAACCCGUCUCUGUCGCAAAAGAGUGGGGUGACUUUAAAGUAGAGGUGAUAGACCUACCGAACUUAGAGAUAGCUGGUUUUUUAAGAAAAGAAUUUUAGUUCAGCCCCAAGCCUUUCGUUAAGCAAAAAACCUUCUUAGGCCUGGGAGUCAUUCAUAUAGGGCACAGCCUAUUUGAAACAGGAUACAACCUAGAAUAUAGGGUAAAACAAUGUGAUUUUUCUAUAAGUGGGCUUGAAAGCAGCCACCUUUCAAAAAGCGUUGUAGCUUAUUGAUACUGAUUAUUUAAUAACCUCAAAAAUGUUUAACCCACACACACUAUUAAACUAUCCCAUAAAUUUAUGGGAGCUAUCAUGCUAGAACAAGUAACAAGAAAAAGAUUUUUCUCCAAAAUACAAGCUUUAGCCGCUACAGACAAACUACCGGCAAUUAACGCCUUUUAACUAAUUUAGUAACUCUAACAAGAAAACCCU
RNAcentral lists this ribosomal RNA (529 nucleotides) under Boophis quasiboehmei. RNAcentral's name for it is "partial 16S ribosomal RNA". The stretch from base 1 to 416 matches the Rfam family "Bacterial large subunit ribosomal RNA", at positions 696 to 1300 of the family's 2925-position model. Lineage: Eukaryota; Metazoa; Chordata; Amphibia; Anura; Mantellidae. The record is from RNAcentral.